UAAACAGUUAAAUAUUAGCAGUUUCACAGGGUCAACCUAAUAUUUUCCUCUUUCUCUUUGCUGUCUUUGAUUAAACUGUCAUUCAUUUAAUGUUUCCCCUUGGUAAUUUGGACAUUCUACUAUUUUUUCCUCAUUCCAUUUAUGGUUAUUGUUCCUCUCCAGGCAUGACAACUGUCCUUUAGCUGGGUCUAGGUGGGCAGAUAGUGCACCUGUGUUACGGGACUCCUGCUGUCUGCACAUCAGAAUUCUUGGACUUGCCCCCCAGAUCUGUGGUCUAUUCCUUCAUCGUUUUCAGCUCUGUGCAUCUUUCCCUUAAGUUCUGAGCUAUUUCUUCCAUUAGACCCAAGUGGCUUUUUCAUAUUCCCUCAAAAUAUCAAACUUCUUCUUUCCUCGGGGUCUUUGUACUUGCUGUGCUUUUGUCAGAAAUGGCUUCCUCUAGAUCUUUCCAUGCUCAGCCAGUGCCUUUGGGCUGAUCUUAGCUCAGAUGUUCCCUUCUCAGAUCUACCUCUCCUGCUGCCUUAGACAUAAACACCAUACUCUGCACUUUUGCUUGGUUCCUUUUCUCCAUUGUAGUCACUCUGCCUAUAAUUAUGUUAUUUGUUCUUUUACUGUCUGUUGCCUCUCACCCACCUCCGGACAAAUAAAUCAUUUGAAUUCUUGCUGUGUUUAUUCACGCUGCAUCCCUGGUGU
RNAcentral lists this long non-coding RNA (690 nucleotides) under Homo sapiens (human). Its description in RNAcentral is "HSALNT0054239". Lineage: Eukaryota; Metazoa; Chordata; Mammalia; Primates; Hominidae. The record is from RNAcentral.